RNAcentral lists this ribosomal RNA (253 nucleotides) under uncultured bacterium. RNAcentral's name for it is "partial 16S ribosomal RNA". It matches the Rfam family "Bacterial small subunit ribosomal RNA", at positions 524 to 776 of the family's 1533-position model. The record is from RNAcentral.
UACAGAGGUCCCAAGCGUUGUUCGGAUUCACUGGGCGUAAAGGGUGCGUAGGUGGUGGGGUAAGUCGGAUGUGAAAUCUCCAAGCUCAACUUGGAAACUGCAUUGGAAACUACCUUGCUAGAGGAUUUGAGGGGGGAUUGGAAUACUUGGUGUAGCAGUGAAAUGCGUAGAGAUUUGGAGGAACACCGGUGGCGAAGGCGGUCAACUGGCCCUCAACUGACGCUGAGGCACGAAAGCGUGGGGAUCAAACAGG